UGCCACCAAAGACGUGACUUUACAGUUAGCGAUUUAGCCGACCUACAUGGUGUGAAGUGAGAGAAUAUCCACCGUUGAAUGUCAGAGCAUGGUAUAAGAGUUUCUGACCUGAAUAAUUCCACUGACAUCGCAACGUCGGAUGCUGGAUGAUUACAGAGAUCCCAGGAUCUCCUCAAAAUUCUGGGUUCAAAAUGAUGCAAGGACAAAUGUUCAAAACUUCGUGUGCAAGAAUCCAUGUGACGUCUGGAUCCACCGGGAAUUGUCCGCACACUACAACUACAAACUGUUCGGCGUAGAAGGUAUUCUGUGCCAGCCCCCAACAGCCAAAGGCAUAUAAAUGGCAACCAUAAACUCAUGAAUUAAGGCUCUAUGUUGGGGAACUAGGAAGCAAGUACAAAAAUAAAUUAAGACCAUAUUUUUUUCACCGAUUUUGGAAAGGUAAACCCGUAUAUAAUAUAAACCAUUUUAAAUUAAGUUUAAAUAUUUCAUGCUUUUAUUUUUUAUUAUGCGCUAGGAAUCAAUUUUGAUUGGGAGUGCUUUUACUGCCAGCCUCUCCCAGUCAAAAUGGUUUGUGUGUCAAGCGCUGUCAAUGGCAGCCAAUGAGUUAAAUGUUGAUGUUUAUGGCUUGCAAAAAAAAAAAAACCCUCAAGUUUCGUGUCGCGGAAAAAAAAAAAAAAAAAAAUUAGAAACAUUUUUUGGGCCUUGCAACACAUCUUCUCUUAUUGCAGAAAUGUUGGUAUAGUUUUAGUUGACAUUUCUGGGAGAUGAUUGGAUGAAAUGUCACCCAUCGAAAUCAAAUCAUGAGGUUUGGCAUGCCCUCUUUGCUUGUUGGCUCUUUGAAAAUGGUUUAACAAGAGCAACUUCAAAAAGGAUCAUGUAAAGUGCAUGUUUCUCACACAUAACAUUAAAAAUAACCAAUAAAAGCAUGAAAUAUCCUCCGACCAAAAUAUUACACUUUGUUCUGGUACUUGAGUAAAAAUGAGCUUUUUUUUUUUUUUUUCACCCAGCAGAAAAAAAUGCACGACUGAACGGGUUAAGUCUGUGUCAAAAAUUCAGAACUUCCACUUUUAGGUUAUGUGUAAAACGACCUAAAAGUAACAACUGAGUGUCACUCUUUCCAUUUUGCAGUCUUGUCCAUUGUCCUCAACCAUUUUUUCCCCUUCUUAAUAAAAUUAUAUAAAUAAACACUUUCACAGUCUAGGCACAUAUAGGUUAAGCUAAUCAAUAAAUUUGCCAUAAAGGAUGUGUGCAUGUUUAGUUAUAUUUCAGGACUAGUUGGUUCAACUUUACAUGACAUAUUUGGAGUUUUAUGUGAUGGUCCACAUGGUCAUCACCCCCAUGUAGGUGUCAGUCCCUGAAGUGCAGCUGCAACAAGCCUAGACUCCUGAAGAAAUUCAGCAGAUGUCAGAAUUUUCUAAUUUAUUGAAUGUCUACAGCGAGACUAUCCAUCCUGCAUCAGAUAUUUGGACUUGUUUGAAAUGACAGCAUAGCAUGUUUGUUGUGGUACCUCACCAAUGUGCAGAAAUAAUAAAGGCAAUGAUUGUUUUUCUGCUACCGUAUUUUUCGGACUACAAGUCGCACCUGAGUAUAAGUCGCACAAGGCAUAAAAUGCCCAACAAAGAGAAAAAAAACAUAUAUAAGUCACACCGGAGUAUAAGUCGCAUUUUUGGGGGAAAUUUACUUGAUAAAAUCCAACACAUAGAACAGAUAUGUCAUCUUGAAAGGCAAUAUAAUAUAAAAAUACAAUAGAGAACAACAUGCUGAAUAAAUGUACAGUGUACAGUGCAUGAACAGCAAAAUGCGAAUAUACUGUCCUCACCAGGACGCUACCGCUCGGUCCUGGCUAUAUACAGCGAACUCCAAAAAGACAAUGCUGGACGUCCGCAUAAUUUGCUGAAUCAAUUUGGUCCUCGAUAGCAAACAGGUUCGCAUCAACGUAAAUAAAUGAUAAUUAGUUACUAUUACAGCAAUAACGUAACAGGUUAGCAUGCGUUCGCUAGCAUUAGCACACCGUUCAAACAACCACACAACUGGCUCUAAGUGUCCGAUCGCGGGUGGAAAACACACAACAACAACAGAAAAGAUGAUACAUGCAGGCGUUGCCUCUGUAGAGAUAUUUUAAAAGCAUAAACAAUGAACGUAGGUUCGCAGCCGUCUUUCUCUCUCGCUAACUCGCCCACCCACUCACUCAGAGCUACGUAGCUGUCCGUCUUCUUCUGGCGUGCGAGCGCUCUUCUUCACGUAAACAAGUGCGAGUGCGCUCCCACGUGGGCGUGAAAGCGCCACAAACUAAAUGCAUCCAUUUCAAUAUAAAAAAGUCAAUAAUAUAAUUGAAAAUACAUUGCCAAAGGCAGAACGCGAACGUGGCCAUAGCUAUUAAGAGUUAUUAAGAUUAACUAUAGCAUGCUAACAAGUUUACAAAACCAUCAGUCCAAAACACCAAAAUAACAUGUGAAAUUAUAUCAUAAUGUGUUAAUAAUUUCACACAUUAGUCGCUCCUGAGUAUAAGUCGCACCCCCAACCAAAAUAUGAAAAAAAACGCGACUUAUAGUCCAAAAAAUACGGUAAGUAACAUUUUAUUGAUGACCAUUGUAAUACAAUACACAUAAUAAACAGGCAAUUGAUCUACAAAAAAGGACUUCCAGCACAACUAACUCGUUCAUCAAUGCAAAAAAAAAAAAAAAAAAACCUGUCCGCUGGACACCAACAUGAGCCACUUAAGGUCAGUAACUUUCUCCCCUAAAACUGGCCAGCUGCUCACCAUCAGCAUCCCCUGAAAUGUAAAUUGUCUUCGGGGAGCUUUAGGGUUAAAAAGCACGUAGAUGAGUGAGGACGAGAGAUGUCUGUUAUUGUUGAGGAACGACACCCCAAUCUUUCUCGGAAGUAUCUAGAAGAAAAUAGAUGACAACACAAGGCAAAAUGGUAUUUAAAAAAAAAUAGCUACGGAAGCAUUAGACGAGACACCAGCCGGUGCUUUCUACCUGAGCCCUUAAGAGCGUAAACACGAACUUGAAUGUGUAAAUUUCGCUUCACUAAUAUGCACUAACGCCAAACUAUUCCUUGUGAGUUUAAUAUUGUUAGCAAAUUUAUCCGUGUCCCGCCUUGCCUCCCCUUCCUGAGACCCAAUGCGAGGUAUUAGCUUAUUAAAAAUGAUAUAGAUUCAACAUACCUCAACUGGAUUUAAGUAAAAAGUAAAAAAAAAAAAAACACACCAAAUUAAGUAAAAAAUUAAAAAACACACCAAAUUAAAUAAAUACGUACCUUGUCCUCAUCCAACUGAUUGCCAGCUUCCCGUUCCCGUAGCGGCUUGGACGCCGACCUUCUCGUCGAGUCCCAUUAUUUUACGAAGCUAGCAACAAGCAGCCAGGCAGGCCAGCAGGCAAAGUCGAUCGAGAGGAUCGCUGCACCAGCGUGUUGAUCGACCAAUGGGUGAAUAGUUCAACACAUGUAGGACCGCCCCCUCAUUUGAAUAGUAUUUCCACUUGCACGUUCGUGCUGACAAUGAAAUAAGUAAAUAUAAGGCAAAGCACUUUUAUUUAUUGAUUGACAUUUAUUUCAAUCAAUAUAUUUAUUUUUGUAUUUUUUUCCACAUUUAUUUUUGUAUUUAUUCUUACAUUUUUAAUGUAAUUUCUUAUUUUUGUAUAUAUAUAUUCAUUUUUAUUUCUACUUUUAUUUAAUUAGCUAUUUAUUUCCAUAUUUAUUUUUGUAAUUAUAUUUAAUUUUUGUACCCUAUUUCUUAUUUUUGUAUUUAUAUUCGUUUUUAUUUUUCCUUUUAUUGACUGAUUUAUUUUUAUUUUUAAUUUUGGCAGCUUUGGUCCUCCAUAAAAGUUGGCCGGAACGGUCCGGAAAGCCGUUCUGGUCUAAGAUUCAAGGCAGGAACCCUAUUCCAGUAUUCGAUGCUUUGAUCCCGAAAAUAUGACGCCAUGUGUAAAAAAAAAUUGCAAGGCAUCAACACACCAACUCAUCUCCAAGAAGAAAACAAUCUACCAACAUCAGAUUAACAUACACAAGUGUUAACAACAAGCAUAAUAAAGUGCUUGUGUAGCGUAAUCCGUUUCCAUCAAUAUUUAUUAUUUAUUUACUCCACGGACGGCACGGAGGUUCCCCCCAGCUGCUGCAGUUAUCCAAGUACCACACAAAUGCUCUUUUUAGAACAUGACGUCGCCAUCAUAACGCUGAAGUGGGACUUUAUAGAUGCGCCCGCUCAUACAAACCAUGUUAUUUCUGCUUGUUUUCCCCGGUAAUCUUUCAAAAAAGAACAUGCCGAUCAAACACUGCUGCUAUUGAACUGGUAGAAACAUCUGUAGACAUUACGACAUAUGAAGGAUGUUUUCUUCAUACGUUUCCCGAAACCAAAAACUCGGAGAAAAUAAUGUGAAGAAUGGAUAAAUUUGCGCGGACAUCCAAAAGACCAGUUUAAGGCCAGCAAGGUGAAGCCAUUCACAUUUCAUGUGCAGUAAAUAUUUUGUUGAGGGCCAUGGUCCUUCAGAGGAUGAAGAGGUAAGCCAUUUUGAUAUUUUUACUUAUUUUUUAGCGUGGCAUUUUGCCAUGCUGCUUUUGUCUGACAAUGAAUGACCUGGAAAAAAAUUUAAAUGGUAUCUGACUGACACUGUUACCUUUUCUGUUAUAAAAAAAACAAAAAAACAACAACUUUAGUGAGGGAGAAGUGUAAAUAAAUUAUAGAAUUAAGAUUUGUUAUUAAAGAAAAAAUUAAAAGUGUAUGUAUGUUACUUAUAUCGU
Molecule: long non-coding RNA, 4740 nt
Organism: Corythoichthys intestinalis (scribbled pipefish)
Lineage: Eukaryota; Metazoa; Chordata; Actinopteri; Syngnathiformes; Syngnathidae
Exons: 3
Source: RefSeq, a predicted model, not a curated record